GUGGAUCUAGCUCAGUGGUAGAGCGCAUGCUUAGCAUGCAUGAGAUACUGGGUUCAAUCCCCAGCAUCUUCA
This 72-nucleotide transfer RNA is filed under the name Camelus ferus (Wild Bactrian camel). It matches the Rfam family "tRNA". From Rfam's summary of the family: Transfer RNA (tRNA) molecules are approximately 80 nucleotides in length. Their secondary structure includes four short double-helical elements and three loops (D, anti-codon, and T loops). Lineage: Eukaryota; Metazoa; Chordata; Mammalia; Artiodactyla; Camelidae. The record is from Rfam by way of RNAcentral.